This 460-nucleotide ribosomal RNA is filed under the name uncultured bacterium. Its description in RNAcentral is "partial 16S ribosomal RNA". It matches the Rfam family "Bacterial small subunit ribosomal RNA", at positions 338 to 795 of the family's 1533-position model. The record is from RNAcentral.
CCUACGGGGGGCAGCAGUGAGGAAUAUUGGUCAAUGGACGAGAGUCUGAACCAGCCAAGUAGCGUGAAGGAUGACUGUCCUAUGGGUUGUAAACUUCUUUUAUAUGGGAAUAAAAUGUUCCACGUGUGGGCUUUUGUAUGUACCAUAUGAAUAAGGAUCGGCUAACUCCGUGCCAGCAGCCGCGGUAAUACGGAGGGUCCGAGCGUUAUCCGGAUUUAUUGGGUUUAAAGGGGGCGUAGGUGGUAUGUUAAGUCAGUUGUGAAAGUUUGCGGGUCAACCGUAAGAUUGCAGUUGAAACUGGCAGUCUUGAGUACAGGAGAGGUGGGCGGAAUUCGUGGUGUAGCGGUGAAAUGCUUAGAUAUCACGAAGAACUCCGAUUGCGAAGGCAGCUCACUGGACUGCAACUGACGCUGAGGCACGAAAGUGUGGGUAUCAAACAGGAUUAGAUACCCCAGUAGUC